CUCUCCUCCUCCAGCUCGGCCUUGAGCAUCUCGACGGCAAGACUCUGCUGCCGCAGAGCCUCCCGCAAGGCCUCCAUUUCGCCGUCGUCUUCAUCGUCUCCGGCCAUGGCGCAGGGCGAUUAAAUCAAGCAAAAAUGGGGAACCUGUGCGCACCUCUGGAAAUUAACUACCAGAUCGGUAGAAAAUCAUAAAAAUGAUUCAAGCAGAUAUUUUCAGAUAGCAGAUCUUGCUUCGAGGUGAUUCGUUGGGAUUGGGCAUCACCCAUCACCAAGAAAAGGAACUUGACAAGUCGGCCAUGAAAGUGAAAGGACAGGAGAAAUGAAGGAUCAGGAACACAACACCUACCUGACAGGGAUCUUCUUGUAGCCACAGCAUCCAGCUUGUCUCAAGGAUUAAAGUGACAAUAAUUGACGACUUCAAGCUAGCGUUGAUUUAAGCUCCGUAUUCGCUGUCAUUAUCAAGAACAAAGCUGUAGUGCCAAAGAGUGGCCUCCGUCCGGUUGGUAAUACGUGUAGUAUUAAAUUCGUGGUUGAUCGCCUUUCUUUCCAAUUUGAUUCUUUCUUUAUCUAAUUCAAUUCAGUUAUAGUUCUUCCCAUAUCCUGCCGACUUGGGUGUUUUCUUUUG
This 624-nucleotide long non-coding RNA is filed under the name Hordeum vulgare. Its description in RNAcentral is "long non-coding RNA (HVUL_LNC016320)". Lineage: Eukaryota; Viridiplantae; Streptophyta; Magnoliopsida; Poales; Poaceae. The record is from RNAcentral.